RNAcentral lists this ribosomal RNA (547 nucleotides) under uncultured eukaryote. RNAcentral's name for it is "SSU rRNA". It matches the Rfam family "Eukaryotic small subunit ribosomal RNA", at positions 195 to 746 of the family's 1831-position model. The record is from RNAcentral.
GAAGGGGUGUAUUGAUUAGAUAAAAAACCAAUGCCCUUCGGGGCUCUUUGGUGAUUCAUGAUAACUUAACGGAUCGCAUGGCCUUGCGCCGGCGACGGUUCAUUCAAAUUUGUGCCCUAUCAACUUUCGAUGGUAAGGUAUUGGCUUACCAUGGUUUCAACGGGUAACGGGGAAUUAGGGUUGGAUUCCGGAGAGGGAGCCUGAGAAACGGCUACCACAUCCAAGGAAGGCAGCAGGCGCGCAAAUUACCCAAUCCCGACACGGGGAGGUAGUGACAAUAAAUACUGAUACAGGGCUCUUUUGGGUCUUGUAAUCGGAAUGAGUACAAUUUAAACCCCUUAACGAGGAACAAUUGGAGGGCAAGUGUGGUGCCAGCAGCCGCGGUAAUUCCGGCUCCAAUAGCGUAUAUUAAAGUUGUUGCAGUUAAAAAGCUCGUAGUUGAAACUUGGGCCUGGCUGGCGGGUCCGCCUCACCGCGUGCACUCGUCCGGCCGGGCCUUCCUUCUGAAGAACCUCAUGCCCUUCACUGGGCGUGCUGGGGAACCAGG